AGCUGCUCUUUUUGCACAGACCAGAUGCAGUAGUACCAUAAGGAAAAAGAAAAUGCUGCCUCUUCCUUUUGUUCUGAGCACCCUGUGACAUCCUCCGAUUGACUGAGCUGUUGCUUGCUGCUUGCUGUGUGCAUCUGUCUGGAAAUGUGUCUGGUGCUUUUUCUAACUGUGCCAAGUGACUGCAGGUAAGAGAGAGCAACAGCCUUGCAGUGAAGGCCAGUGAGAUCCAAAGGCCACCGCAUUCCUGCUGUCACGAUGACGGUACUUAGUCACCCCAUUUGCUGUCGAGCUGCGGGAAGGAGCCUGUAGCACCGAGGAGAGGGGACAGCGAGUGCUUUCCCAGGGACUAGAGGCUACGUGCCCUGCUCCAGCCCUACUGGGGUCACUGCUGGAGAUAAGCUGGCACGCACUGGUGCAGCAGGGCACCGUCGAGCACAGUAAAAGAAGCAGCUUCCAGUGGUUCAGAAAGGAUAUAAGCAGAGCACCAUGCAUGAAAAUUGCUUUACAGAUGCAGGUGACUGUGCAAGAUACACCAGUGGUCGCAGGAUGUACAGCUCUUCCCACAGAUGUGUGCAGCAGCCACAGUGCUUUGCCUGCACGAGCAGGGCUGGAGCCCAGGC
This is a long non-coding RNA of Oxyura jamaicensis (ruddy duck), 620 nucleotides long. RefSeq lists it as uncharacterized. The transcript has 5 exons. NCBI's taxonomy places the organism in Eukaryota, Metazoa, Chordata, Aves, Anseriformes, Anatidae. The record is from RefSeq and is a predicted model, not a curated record.